CGAGAGUCAAUAGCUAUCUCAAUCGAUUUCACCAGAGCAGCCAGACCUGGAGACCAUCCCAGUUAAGGAGACAAUGCUACACUGAGACCAUUGGCCCCAAUGAUAGAAUUGAGUUUUGUCACCCAUGCGCCUGAAAGGUUUUGGAUUAGGGAAAGAAAUAGGCAAACUGCCUAGAGUUUCGAGAUCAAGGAUCUACAUCGGAAUUUAAAUAGAAUCAAAACACCGUGUACCUGAGAGUUCAAGGGUCGGGAUGAGAAACGUCUAGACUGCCCUCCACGGUUGCUUCAGAACGAUAUGCCAAACUUUGCUUGUAGCCA
This 317-nucleotide long non-coding RNA is filed under the name Selaginella moellendorffii. RNAcentral's name for it is "long non-coding RNA (SMOE_LNC000904)". The record is from RNAcentral. Lineage: Eukaryota; Viridiplantae; Streptophyta; Lycopodiopsida; Selaginellales; Selaginellaceae.